Molecule: ribosomal RNA, 330 nt
Filed under: uncultured Lachnospiraceae bacterium
Lineage: Bacteria; Bacillati; Bacillota; Clostridia; Lachnospirales; Lachnospiraceae
Description: bacterial SSU rRNA
Rfam family: Bacterial small subunit ribosomal RNA
Source: RNAcentral
GAUGAACGCUGGCGGCGUGCUUAACACAUGCAAGUCGAACGAAGCUCUUUUGCGGAUGUUUUCGGAUUGAAGUAAAAGAUGACUUAGUGGCGGACGGGUGAGUAACGCGUGGGUAACCUGCCUCUGACAGGGGGACAACAGUUAGAAAUGACUGCUAACACCGCAUAAGCGCACGGUAAGGCAUCUUACAGUGUGAAAAUAUUUAUAGGUCAGAGAUGGGCCCGCGUCUGAUUAGCCAGUUGGCAGGGUAACGGCCUACCAAAGCGACGAUCAGUAGCCGGCUUUAACGAGUGAACGGCCACAUUGGAACUGAGACACGGUCCAAACUCC